UCUAUAAUGUAAUCUUGUUUUUCU
RNAcentral lists this small RNA (24 nucleotides) under Arabidopsis thaliana (thale cress). Its description in RNAcentral is "ATSL101420". Lineage: Eukaryota; Viridiplantae; Streptophyta; Magnoliopsida; Brassicales; Brassicaceae. The record is from RNAcentral.